Molecule: transfer RNA, 64 nt
Filed under: Ictidomys tridecemlineatus (thirteen-lined ground squirrel)
Lineage: Eukaryota; Metazoa; Chordata; Mammalia; Rodentia; Sciuridae
Description: Spermophilus tridecemlineatus (thirteen-lined ground squirrel) tRNA
Rfam family: tRNA
About the family: Transfer RNA (tRNA) molecules are approximately 80 nucleotides in length.
Source: Rfam by way of RNAcentral
GUGUAGCUCAGUGGUAAAGCAUGUACUUAGCAUGCACAAAGCCUUGGGUUCAAUCCCCCAACAC